AUUAUUGUGGUACGCAGCGUCCUGAUUGGUGGAAAAUGCUUUGCAGAAAGAAACGGCUGUUGUCAGGUAAAAAUGUCACUGUCAAAGAGGCUGAAGCAAAAAGUUGACGUGGAAUGAUGAAUAGACUGAUAAGCAGGCUAUGCAUUCAUCAUGUAUGCCUCAUAUGCAAGGAAAUGAUGCUGUUGCAAAAUAACACAACCAGCAUCAUCAUCAAGAAUGAAGAACAAAAAAUAACAAUUCUGUUGUUCACGUGCAUGUUA
Molecule: long non-coding RNA, 260 nt
Organism: Etheostoma cragini (Arkansas darter)
Lineage: Eukaryota; Metazoa; Chordata; Actinopteri; Perciformes; Percidae
Exons: 3
Source: RefSeq, a predicted model, not a curated record